This 655-nucleotide ribosomal RNA is filed under the name Escherichia coli. RNAcentral's name for it is "partial 23S ribosomal RNA". It matches the Rfam family "Bacterial large subunit ribosomal RNA", at positions 614 to 1269 of the family's 2925-position model. Lineage: Bacteria; Pseudomonadati; Pseudomonadota; Gammaproteobacteria; Enterobacterales; Enterobacteriaceae. The record is from RNAcentral.
AAUGGGUCAGCGACUUAUAUUCUGUAGCAAGGUUAACCGAAUAGGGGAGCCGAAGGGAAACCGAGUCUUAACUGGGCGUUAAGUUGCAGGGUAUAGACCCGAAACCCGGUGAUCUAGCCAUGGGCAGGUUGAAGGUUGGGUAACACUAACUGGAGGACCGAACCGACUAAUGUUGAAAAAUUAGCGGAUGACUUGUGGCUGGGGGUGAAAGGCCAAUCAAACCGGGAGAUAGCUGGUUCUCCCCGAAAGCUAUUUAGGUAGCGCCUCGUGAAUUCAUCUCCGGGGGUAGAGCACUGUUUCGGCAAGGGGGUCAUCCCGACUUACCAACCCGAUGCAAACUGCGAAUACCGGAGAAUGUUAUCACGGGAGACACACGGCGGGUGCUAACGUCCGUCGUGAAGAGGGAAACAACCCAGACCGCCAGCUAAGGUCCCAAAGUCAUGGUUAAGUGGGAAACGAUGUGGGAAGGCCCAGACAGCCAGGAUGUUGGCUUAGAAGCAGCCAUCAUUUAAAGAAAGCGUAAUAGCUCACUGGUCGAGUCGGCCUGCGCGGAAGAUGUAACGGGGCUAAACCAUGCACCGAAGCUGCGGCAGCGACACUAUGUGUUGUUGGGUAGGGGAGCGUUCUGUAAGCCUGUGAAGGUGGCCUGUGAGGG